This 129-nucleotide small nuclear RNA is filed under the name Pteropus alecto (black flying fox). RNAcentral's name for it is "U2 spliceosomal RNA". It matches the Rfam family "U2 spliceosomal RNA". Rfam says of the family: U2 is a small nuclear RNA (snRNA) component of the spliceosome (involved in pre-mRNA splicing). Complementary binding between U2 snRNA (in an area lying towards the 5' end but 3' to hairpin I) and the branchpoint sequence (BPS) of the intron results the bulging out of an unpaired adenosine, on the BPS, which initiates a nucleophilic attack at the intronic 5' splice site, thus starting the first of two transesterification reactions that mediate splicing. Lineage: Eukaryota; Metazoa; Chordata; Mammalia; Chiroptera; Pteropodidae. The record is from Rfam by way of RNAcentral. RNAcentral also lists the same sequence under 1 other name.
AUGGCUUCUCGGCCUUUUGGCUAAGAUCAAGUGCAGUAUCUAUUCUUAUCAGCUUGAAAUAGUUCUUAACCAUACUAUUUCUUAAUAAAAAUGUCACUAAAGUUUAAAAAAAUCUGAACUGUACUAUUU